This 253-nucleotide ribosomal RNA is filed under the name uncultured bacterium. RNAcentral describes it as "partial 16S ribosomal RNA". It matches the Rfam family "Bacterial small subunit ribosomal RNA", at positions 524 to 776 of the family's 1533-position model. The record is from RNAcentral.
UACGGGGGGGGCAAGCGUUGUUCGGAAUUACUGGGCGUAAAGGGCUCGUAGGCGGCCAACUAAGUCAGACGUGAAAUCCCUCGGCUUAACCGGGGAACUGCGUCUGAUACUGGAUGGCUUGAGUUUGGGAGAGGGAUGCGGAAUUCCAGGUGUAGCGGUGAAAUGCGUAGAUAUCUGGAGGAACACCGGUGGCGAAGGCAGGUCUCUGGGCAUUAACUGACGCUGAGGAGCGAAAGCAUGGGGAGCGAACAGG